Long non-coding RNA from Armigeres subalbatus, 354 nucleotides. RefSeq lists it as uncharacterized. The transcript has 3 exons. NCBI's taxonomy places the organism in Eukaryota, Metazoa, Arthropoda, Insecta, Diptera, Culicidae. The record is from RefSeq and is a predicted model, not a curated record.
UCGUUCUACUUUUUUCCAACAAAACACGUCAUCUUUUCCGCUUUAGAAGUUAACAAUCUUAAUUCUUUUGUUAUUCGAUAAAUUUUAUUUCAAAGUGAGUGCUGUCGUCAAGAUAUAGUUGUGGAAGCAGCGCUUCGUGCCCGUAAUAAAAAGUCGAAGCUCCAAGAAUUAUGACCGAUAAUUGGAACUGGAUUCAUCAGUUCAUUUUAUUUUCGAAGGAAAUGAUGUAAUGGAGCAAUAUCUUGUGGUCAUUGGUGGAAUGGUCCAGGCAGAUAUUUUUUCCGCCGCGAAAUGGAGGAAGCUGAUGCACAGCUAUGGGAAACAGCUGAGCGAAAAGUUCCAUUUUGAACGGGA